GAUUUGCAGUGAUGAUUGUUUACACAGCUUAAUGCCAGUUCUGCUUCAGAAAAUUCUUGAUUGAAAAGCUGUUUUACAUCUGAGCCUUUU
This 90-nucleotide small nucleolar RNA is filed under the name Erythranthe guttata (spotted monkey flower). The record is from RNAcentral. Lineage: Eukaryota; Viridiplantae; Streptophyta; Magnoliopsida; Lamiales; Phrymaceae.